Capra hircus (goat) is the source of this 323-nucleotide long non-coding RNA. RefSeq lists it as uncharacterized. The transcript is spliced from 3 exons. The record is from RefSeq and is a predicted model, not a curated record. Lineage: Eukaryota; Metazoa; Chordata; Mammalia; Artiodactyla; Bovidae.
GACUCAGUGAGCAGCUGUCACUGGAGCUUGCCUGGGGCUUAAGGGCUUUCCUGUCUGGGGGCGGCGGCAGGGGGAGGCGUUGCCACACAGAGAAGAGGCUGCCGGGGUGCCCGGCUGUGUCAAGCCACCUCCCUGGAGAGACCAUGCUGGUGCUGAGGUCUGGCACGUGGCCCGCACCCAGGAAAGGAGCUCGGCCAGUGGUGGCACGCCGGGGAAACUCAGAAGCUGCGCAGAGGCCAGAGCAGGGUGGUCGUGGACAGCGUCCUGUGCAGGAACCUGGCAGGAAUGCAACUUUAUCUGCUACCUUCAGAUGGUGGUGCCUG